GCAGUCCCUCCCCGCCCCCGCUCUCCCCUCCGCAGCCUGCAGCCCGAGACUUCUGUAAAGGACUGGGGCCCCGCAACUGGCCUCUCCUGCCCUCUUAAGCGCAGCGCCAUUUUAGCAACGCAGAAGCCCGGCGCCGGGAAGCCUCAGCUCGCCUGAAGAUUUCCCAAGCAGACAGCCCGUGCUGCUCCGAUUUCUCGAACAAAAAAGCAAAACGUGUGGCUGUCUUGGGAGCAAGUCGCAGGACUGCAAGCAGUUGGGGGAGAAAGUCCGCCAUUUUGCCACUUCUCAACCGUCCCUGCAAGGCUGGGGCUCAGUUGCGUAAUGGAAAGUAAAGCCCUGAACUAUCACACUUUAAUCUUCCUUCAAAAGGUGGUAAACUAUACCUACUGUCCCUCAAGAGAACACAAGAAGUGCUUUAAGAGGUAAUAGCCUGCAGCUGGUGUUUUGAGAAGCCCUACUGCUGAAAACUUAACAAUUUUGUGUAAUAAAAAUGGAGAAGCUCUAAA
This 506-nucleotide long non-coding RNA is filed under the name Homo sapiens (human). Its description in RNAcentral is "metastasis associated lung adenocarcinoma transcript 1". The record is from RNAcentral. Lineage: Eukaryota; Metazoa; Chordata; Mammalia; Primates; Hominidae.